Molecule: ribosomal RNA, 261 nt
Filed under: uncultured bacterium
Lineage: Bacteria
Description: partial 16S ribosomal RNA
Rfam family: Bacterial small subunit ribosomal RNA
Source: RNAcentral
AACGAGUCGCAAGCUCGCGAGAGUAAGCUAAUCUCUUAAAGCCGUUCUCAGUUCGGACUGUAGGCUGCAACUCGCCUACACGAAGUCGGAAUCGCUAGUAAUCGCGGAUCAGCAUGCCGCGGUGAAUACGUUCCCGGGCCUUGUACACACCGCCCGUCACACCAUGGGAGUUUGUAACGCCCAAAGUCGGUGGCCUAACCUUUAUGGAGGGAGCCGCCUAAGGCGGGACAGAUGACUGGGGUGAAGUCGUAACAAGGUAAC